This 465-nucleotide ribosomal RNA is filed under the name Vreelandella stevensii. RNAcentral describes it as "partial 16S ribosomal RNA". It matches the Rfam family "Bacterial small subunit ribosomal RNA", at positions 338 to 795 of the family's 1533-position model. The record is from RNAcentral. Lineage: Bacteria; Pseudomonadati; Pseudomonadota; Gammaproteobacteria; Oceanospirillales; Halomonadaceae.
CCUACGGGGGGCUGCAGUGGGGAAUAUUGGACAAUGGGGGCAACCCUGAUCCAGCCAUGCCGCGUGUGUGAAGAAGGCCCUCGGGUUGUAAAGCACUUUCAGUGAGGAAGAACGCCUGGUGGUUAAUACCCAUCAGGAAAGACAUCACUCACAGAAGAAGCACCGGCUAACUCCGUGCCAGCAGCCGCGGUAAUACGGAGGGUGCGAGCGUUAAUCGGAAUUACUGGGCGUAAAGCGCGCGUAGGUGGCUUGAUAAGCCGGUUGUGAAAGCCCCGGGCUCAACCUGGGAACGGCAUCCGGAACUGUCAAGCUAGAGUGCAGGAGAGGAAGGUAGAAUUCCCGGUGUAGCGGUGCAAUGCGUAGAGAUCGGGAGGAAUACCAGUGGCGAAGGCGGCCUUCUGGACUGACACUGACACUGAGGUGCGAAAGCGUGGGUAGCAAACAGGAUUAGCUACCCUUGUAGUC